This 405-nucleotide ribosomal RNA is filed under the name uncultured bacterium. RNAcentral describes it as "bacterial SSU rRNA". It matches the Rfam family "Bacterial small subunit ribosomal RNA", at positions 355 to 776 of the family's 1533-position model. The record is from RNAcentral.
UGGGGAAUAUUGCGCAAUGGGGGAAACCCUGACGCAGCAACGCCGCGUGAAGGAAGAAGGUCUUCGGAUUGUAAACUUCUUUGAUCAGGGAAGAGAGAGGACAGUACCUGAAGAACAAGCCACGGCUAACUACGUGCCAGCAGCCGCGGUAAUACGUAGGUGGCAAGCGUUGUCCGGAAUUACUGGGUGUAAAGGGCGAGUAGGCUGGAAUAGAAGUCAUGUGUGAAAUACCGUAAAAAAAAUACGGAAGUGCAUGUGAAACUAGAUUUCUUGAGUGCUGGAGAGGAAAGCGGAAUUCCUAGUGUAGCGGUGAAAUGCGUAGAUAUUAGGAGGAACACCAGUGGCGAAGGCGGCUUUCUGGCCAGUUACUGACGCUGAGGAGCGAAAGCGUGGGGAGCAAACAGG